AUGGGAACGCGAAGAACCUUACCUACUCUUGACAUCCAGAGAACUUAGCAGAGAUGCUUUGGUGCCUUCGGGAACUCUGAGACAGGUGCUGCAUGGCUGUCGUCAGCUCGUGUUGUGAAAUGUUGGGUUAAGUCCCGCAACGAGCGCAACCCUUAUCCUUUGUUGCCAGCGGUUAGGCCGGGAACUCAAAGGAGACUGCCAGUGAUAAACUGGAGGAAGGUGGGGAUGACGUCAAGUCAUCAUGGCCCUUACGAGUAGGGCUACACACGUGCUACAAUGGCGCAUACAAAGAGAAGCGACCUCGCGAGAGCAAGCGGACCUCAUAAAGUGCGUCGUAGUCCGGAUUGGAGUCUGCAACUCGACUCCAUGAAGUCGGAAUCGCUAGUAAUCGUAGAUCAGAAUGCUACGGUG
RNAcentral lists this ribosomal RNA (411 nucleotides) under uncultured bacterium. RNAcentral describes it as "bacterial SSU rRNA". It matches the Rfam family "Bacterial small subunit ribosomal RNA", at positions 954 to 1364 of the family's 1533-position model. The record is from RNAcentral.